This 256-nucleotide ribosomal RNA is filed under the name uncultured bacterium. RNAcentral's name for it is "partial 16S ribosomal RNA". It matches the Rfam family "Bacterial small subunit ribosomal RNA", at positions 524 to 776 of the family's 1533-position model. The record is from RNAcentral.
UACAGAGACCUCAAGCGUUAUCCGGAAUCAUUGGGCGUAAAGCGUACCGAUAGGUUGUUUACUAAGUCAAAGUGAAAUCUCUGAGCUCAACUCGGAAUCUGUCUUUUGAAACUAGUAAACUAGAGGGGCGAAGAGGAAGCUGGAACGAACGGUGUAGUAGUGAAAUGCGUUGAUAUCGUUCGGAACACCAAUAGCGUAGGCAGGCUUCUGGGUGCCACCUGACACUGCUAGGACGAAAGCGUGGGGAGCGAAUGGG